AGCAGCCGCGGUAAUUCCAGCUCCAAUAGCGUAUAUUAAAGUUGUUGCAGUUAAAAAGCUCGUAGUUGAAUUUCGGGAUCAGUACGCCGGUCGUGCCUUCGGUAUGUACUGGUGUCACUGAUUCCUCCCUUCUGAAGAACCGUUAUGCCAUUUAUUUGGUGUGGCGGGGAAUCAGGACUGUUACUUUGAAAAAAUUAGAGUGUUUAAAGCAGGCUCGCGCUUGAAUACAUUAGCAUGGAAUAAUGAAAUAGGACGUUUGAUUCUAUUUUGUUGGUUUCUAGGAUCGACGUAAUGAUUAAUAGGGAUAGUUGGGGGCAUUAGUAUUCAAUUGUCAGAGGUGAAAUUCUUGGAUUUAUUGAAGACUAACUACUGCGAAAGCAUUUGCCAAGGAUGUUUUCAUUAAUCAAGAACGAAAGUUAGGGGAUCGAAGACGAUCAGAUACCGUCGUAG
RNAcentral lists this ribosomal RNA (450 nucleotides) under uncultured Glomeromycotina. RNAcentral's name for it is "SSU rRNA". It matches the Rfam family "Eukaryotic small subunit ribosomal RNA", at positions 569 to 1023 of the family's 1831-position model. The record is from RNAcentral. Lineage: Eukaryota; Fungi; Glomeromycota.